GAUGAUGUGGCGAAGUGGCCUAACGCGGCAGCCUGCAAAGCUGCUAUUCGCGGGUUCGAAUCCCGCCGUCAUCU
Molecule: transfer RNA, 74 nt
Filed under: Anaerolineae bacterium
Lineage: Bacteria; Bacillati; Chloroflexota; Anaerolineae
Description: tRNA-Cys
Rfam family: tRNA
About the family: Transfer RNA (tRNA) molecules are approximately 80 nucleotides in length.
Source: RNAcentral